RNAcentral lists this ribosomal RNA (261 nucleotides) under uncultured prokaryote. RNAcentral describes it as "partial 16S ribosomal RNA". It matches the Rfam family "Bacterial small subunit ribosomal RNA", at positions 524 to 784 of the family's 1533-position model. The record is from RNAcentral.
UACGUAGGUGGCAAGCGUUAUCCGGAAUUAUUGGGCGUAAAGCGAGCGCAGGCGGUUCCUUAAGUCUGAUGUGAAAGCCCACGGCUCAACCGUGGAAGGUCAUUGGAAACUGGGGAACUUGAGUGCAGAAGAGGAGAGUGGAAUUCCAUGUGUAGCGGUGAAAUGCGUAGAUAUAUGGAGGAACACCAGUGGCGAAGGCGACUCUCUGGUCUGUAACUGACGCUGAGGCUCGAAAGCGUGGGGAGCAAACAGGAUUAGAUA